RNAcentral lists this ribosomal RNA (433 nucleotides) under uncultured bacterium. Its description in RNAcentral is "partial 16S ribosomal RNA". It matches the Rfam family "Bacterial small subunit ribosomal RNA", at positions 29 to 507 of the family's 1533-position model. The record is from RNAcentral.
AACGAACGCUGGCGGCAUGCCUAACACAUGCAAGUCGAACGAGACCUUCGGGUCUAGUGGCGCACGGGUGCGUAACGCGUGGGAACCUGCCCUUAGGUUCGGAAUAACUCCCCGAAAGGGGUGCUAAUACCGGAUAAUGUCUUCGGACCAAAGAUUGAUGGCCUUUGGAUGGGCCCGCGUUGGAUUAGCUAGUUGGUAGGGUAAAAGCCUACCAAGGCGACGAUCCAGAGCUGGUCUGAGAGGAUGAUCAGCCACACUGGGACUGAGACACGGCCCAGACUCCUACGGGAGGGAGCAGUGGGGAAUAUUGGACAAGGGGCGAAGGCCUGAUCCAGCAAUGCCGGGUGAGUGAUGAAGGCCUUAGGGUUGUAAAGCUCUUUUACCCGGGAUGAUAAUGACGGUACCGGGAGAAUAAGCGCCGGCUAACUCCGUG